This is a transfer RNA of Camelus ferus (Wild Bactrian camel), 72 nucleotides long. It matches the Rfam family "tRNA". From Rfam's summary of the family: Transfer RNA (tRNA) molecules are approximately 80 nucleotides in length. The record is from Rfam. Lineage: Eukaryota; Metazoa; Chordata; Mammalia; Artiodactyla; Camelidae.
GAGGGUAUAGCUCAGUGGUAGAGUGCAUGCUUAGCAUGCACGAAGUGCUGGGUUCAAUCCCCAGUACCUCCA